This 362-nucleotide transfer RNA is filed under the name uncultured Microcystis sp. RNAcentral describes it as "partial 16S-23S ribosomal RNA intergenic spacer". The stretch from base 135 to 208 matches the Rfam family "tRNA". The record is from RNAcentral. Lineage: Bacteria; Bacillati; Cyanobacteriota; Cyanophyceae; Chroococcales; Microcystaceae.
AAGGGAGACCUAAUUCAGGUAGGAGACGAAAAAAAAGUAGUCCCAACCAAGAAUCAAUCCCAAAAGGUCGGAGCGAGGCGGAAUUGGCUUUCAAACUAGGUUCUGGGUUCACACAAGACCUGAAUCAGGAACAAGGGCUAUUAGCUCAGGUGGUUAGAGCGCACCCCUGAUAAGGGUGAGGUCCCUGGUUCGAGUCCAGGAUGGCCCACCCGCACAGGUGGCAAAAACAAGAGAAGCGAGGAAUCAGCACCUUAUCUUAUCUAUAUAUAUAUAGGAGAGAAUGCUGGCUCUGAGUAAAGAGUCCAGAGGAACCUUGAAAACUGCAUAGAGCUAGGUGAAAAAGCCAAAAAAGAAGACCGCAA